AGAAUGUUGACCAGAAAGACUGUUCAUGGCUCAAAUCCACAGCUCUAGAUUCAGACCCUAGAUUUAAAUCCUGGCACAACCUCCUGGAUGUACAACCUUGGGCAAGACAUUUAACCUGUCCUAGCUCAUCAUCAAGAACAGGAAUAAAUACACCCACCAUACAGAUGUCAGGAGAAGAUUUAAGACAUAUAUAUUUUACGAUCCUGGUUACAAGGUUGAAACUACCCUCCUUAGCCUGGUAAGGCUGGUGCCUCCAACACUAGAAAAAGGGUGAGGGAAGGGAAAUCCGACCAUCCUCAGCAGGUGAACCCCAGUAGGACAGGUAUUUUAAAGGCACCUGGCUCCACAUACCCACAGCACACGGGCACUGCAUUCCCCGGGAGUGCUCUGUUACAGCCGAGCCUUGGGGUAAAAUGGCAAAGGGCUGUGCCAAGCACCGGCUCCCAGGUCCCCCGGCCGAUCCGAGUUCCCUUGGUCCUGGUGGAGGAGGAGCAGCUAACGUGGAUGAGGCCUCCAGAUGUGAGGCUGAAGAAAGAAGGGAGAAGAAAAUGAGACUUAUGGACUGAUGCCAGAGGGAGAUUGAGAAAGGAGAGCCAGGGCCUUCUCUGGGCUGGGUCUUCAGAUACAUUCCAUGUAUUGGGCUCCAAGGCUUGUCAAAAGCCUUCACCGAAACCCUCCUUCCUGUCUAUAGCACCGAAGAUUCUGAGUGAGGCUCAUUAAAACCUGGUCUCUGCUGGCACGUGGGCAGCAAGGGCGAGGAGCAGGGCUGGGGACCACCUCCCUUCCUGAGAGCCCGCCGCAGUGCCCGGAUGUAGGGAUGUAAGCAAAGCCGAAGAGGAGAGGGGUUACGGAAGCCAAAGCCGGAUUAGAUCUGGAGCAUGGGAAGAGAUUUCCCAGCAUGUUAGAGAGUAACCUUUGCAGCCUGGCUUUCCAACUCCCCCACAUUAGGAGUUUGGUUGCCAAAGCCCUGCUGCCUCCCUCACAUUAGACGACCUCUGCUGCAAGCCAGAAAGCAGCAAAGGCCUGGCUGUUAAAGGCACAGGCUGCCCGACCAGAGAGCAAGACCCCUUCCAAAGAGCAGAAGGGCACAGGCACCGGCCUCGGAAAUUGUGUUAUCAACACGAUGGACGCCCCAUCACGGCCCUGAAGGGGAAGGUGGGUGGAGUCCGAUGGAGGAUCCAGGGCACCAGCACUCUAAGUGUUAAGUACGCUAUCCGGAGUACCUGCUUUCUGCUGGAUUAACGGGGAAGAAAAUGAGCAGAGGGAAGGAGACAGCUCCCGAUGGUUUUUAAAGAAAAGUGCAUUUAAGCUUAAAGUCAGUGUAGCAGAACAGCUGGGCUGGAAAAUUGGCUGUUUAGCUCUGCGGUUGGUGUCAGGGACCCACUGGCUGAGAAACAGUGAGAUCAGCCUGCAUUUGUAAACUGCAGGUGCUGAGAACCAAGAUGAAGGGCCUCGAGGGAGCGGGGACUCCAGCGACAGCUCUUCCCCAUUCCUACACCUCAGGGCCUGAGCUGGCCAGGCUCUAGAGGGUUCCCAGCUCUGCCUUGGACUAAUCACAACCCCAGGACCCCAGGAUCUCAGAUCCAGAAGGGACCAAAGAUUGCACAGGAAUCCUUGCUUCAGCUCUGUGUGUCCCAGGCCCCUGGAAGGCCCACUCGUCCUCUGCCCAGCCUGCCCUGCUGUCUGCAGCUGGCGCGGGGAGGAAAGCUGCAUCUCUUCUGUCACCAGCACGGUGGACGUGCACUGUGGCACCUCAGAUAGGAAGGGCUUCUCAAAGAUGACCUGACUCACAAGUCAUAGACUAUCCAAAUUCACUUGCAGGAAUUUUUUUUCUUGGCCCACCUAAUGUCUUUUUUUUUUUUUUAAUGUUUAUUUAUUGAAAGAGAGAGAGACCGAGCCCCAAGCAGGCUCCCCA
This 1915-nucleotide long non-coding RNA is filed under the name Suricata suricatta (meerkat). Its description in RNAcentral is "lncRNA (ENSSSUG00005002258.1)". Lineage: Eukaryota; Metazoa; Chordata; Mammalia; Carnivora; Herpestidae. The record is from RNAcentral.